Molecule: ribosomal RNA, 497 nt
Filed under: uncultured bacterium
Lineage: Bacteria
Description: partial 16S ribosomal RNA
Rfam family: Bacterial small subunit ribosomal RNA
Source: RNAcentral
GACGAACGCUGGCGGCGUGCCUAAUACAUGCAAGUUGAGCGAUGAAGAUUGGUGCUUGCCCCAAUUUGAAGAGCAGCGAACGGGUGAGUAACGCGUGGGGAAUCUGCCUUUGAGCGGGGGACAACAUUUGGAAACGAAUGCUAAUACCGCAUAACAACUUUAAACAUAAGUUUUAAGUUUGAAAGAUGCAAUUGCAUCACUCAAAGAUGAUCCCGCGUUGUAUUAGCUAGCUGGUGAGGUAAAGGCUCACCAAGGCGAUGAUACAUAGCCGACCUGAGAGGGUGAUCGGCCACAUUGGGACUGAGACACGGCCCAAACUCCUACGGGAGGCAGCAGUAGGGAAGCUUCGGCAAUGGACGAAAGUCUGACCGAGCAACGCCGCGUGAGUGAAGAAGGUUUUCGGAUCGUAAAACUCUGUUGGUAGAGAAGAACGUUGGUGAGAGUGGAAAGCUCAUCAAGUGACGGUAACUACCCAGAAAGGGACGGCUAACUACGUG